CAAUAGCGUAUAUUAAAGUUGUUGCAGUUAAAAAGCUCGUAGUUGGAUUUCGGGGCAGCCUGGCUGGUCCGCCGCAAGGCGAGUACUGGUCAGCCGCCCUUCCUCUCGAAAGCCCCGACUGCUCUUCGUUGCAGUGGUCGGGUAGUUUGGGACGUUUACUUUGAAAAAAUUAGAGUGUUCAAGGCAGGCCUACGCCUGAAUACAUUAGCAUGGAAUAAUGGAAGAGGACCUCGGUCCUAUUUUGUUGGUUUCCAGGGCCGAAGUAAUGAUUAAGAGGGACAGUUGGGGGCAUUCGUAUUUAAUUGUCAGAGGUGAAAUUCUCGGAUUUAUGAAAGACGAACAACUGCGAAAGCAUUUGCCAAGGAUGUUUUCAUUAA
Molecule: ribosomal RNA, 377 nt
Filed under: uncultured eukaryote
Lineage: Eukaryota
Description: partial 18S ribosomal RNA
Rfam family: Eukaryotic small subunit ribosomal RNA
Source: RNAcentral